GGUUGCCGAUCAUACCAGCACUAAUGCACCGGAUCCCAUUCAGACUCCGCAGUUAAGCGUGCUUGGGCGAGGAGUAGUACUAGGAUGGGGUGACCCCCUGGGAAGUCCUCGUGUUGCAACCC
This 122-nucleotide ribosomal RNA is filed under the name Helianthus annuus (common sunflower). The record is from RNAcentral. Lineage: Eukaryota; Viridiplantae; Streptophyta; Magnoliopsida; Asterales; Asteraceae.